Molecule: ribosomal RNA, 253 nt
Filed under: uncultured bacterium
Lineage: Bacteria
Description: partial 16S ribosomal RNA
Rfam family: Bacterial small subunit ribosomal RNA
Source: RNAcentral
UACAGAGGUCUCAAGCGUUGCUCGGAAUCACUGGGCGUAAAGGGUGCGUAGGCGGGUUUUUAAGUCAGGGGUGAAAUCCUGGAGCUCAACUCCAGAACUGCCUUUGAUACUGAAGAUCUUGAGUCCGGGAGAGGUGAGUGGAACUGCGAGUGUAGAGGUGAAAUUCGUAGAUAUUCGCAAGAACACCCGUGGCGAAAGCGGCUCUCUGGAACGGUACUGACGCUGAGACGCGAAAGCGUGGGGAGCGAACAGG